GUGCUCACUUUGGCAGCAUAGAUACUAAAAUUGGAAUGAUACAGAUAAGAUUAGCAAGGCCCAUGCAAGGAUGACAGGUAAAUUCGUGAAGCAUUUCAUUAUUAA
Molecule: small nuclear RNA, 105 nt
Filed under: Colobus angolensis palliatus
Lineage: Eukaryota; Metazoa; Chordata; Mammalia; Primates; Cercopithecidae
Source: RNAcentral